RNAcentral lists this ribosomal RNA (556 nucleotides) under uncultured bacterium. RNAcentral's name for it is "bacterial SSU rRNA". It matches the Rfam family "Bacterial small subunit ribosomal RNA", at positions 777 to 1325 of the family's 1533-position model. The record is from RNAcentral.
AAUAGAUACCCGGGUAGUCCACGCCGUAAACGAUGGGUACUAGGUGUAGGGGGUAUCGACUCCCCCUGUGCCGCCGUUAACACAAUAAGUACCCCGCCUGGGGAGUACGGUCGCAAGAUUAAAACUCAAAGGAAUUGACGGGGGCCCGCACAAGCAGCGGAGCAUGUGGUUUAAUUCGAAGCAACGCGAAGAACCUUACCUAGACUUGACAUCUCCUGCAUUACUCUUAAUCGAGGAAGUUCUCCCUUCGGGGAGGACAGGAAGACAGGUGGUGCAUGGUUGUCGUCAGCUCGUGUCGUGAGAUGUUGGGUUAAGUCCCGCAACGAGCGCAACCCUUAUUGUUAGUUGCUACCAUUUAGUUGAGCACUCUAGCAAGACUGCCGUGGUUAACGCGGAGGAAGGUGGGGAUGACGUCAAAUCAUCAUGCCCCUUACGUCUAGGGCUACACACGUGCUACAAUGGCGAGUACAAAGAGACGCAAAGCCGCGAGGUGGAGCAAAACUUAUAAAACCUCGUCUCAGUUCGGAUUGCAGGCUGAAACUCGCCUGCAUAAACG